UUGGGGCUAGGGUAAGGUUUAAGGUUUUUGGCAUUAGGGUUAAAAUCACUGUCCAAAACCUUUGUAGGAACUAUUUUCCAAGCUUUGGGAGUUAGUUAGACCAAAAAAAAAGAAAGAUGAAAAAAAAAAAUAUUUGGGGUUUUCGGGCUUCCUGAAGGUAAUACGGUUAAUAAUAUUAGGUUUUGGGGCUAGGGUAAGGUUUAAGGUUUUUGGCGUUAGGGUUAAAAUGACUGUCCAAAACCUAUUUAGGAACAUGUUUCAGACCUUUUGGAGUUGGUUACACCAAAUAAAAAUAAAAAAAAAUAAAAAAAUAUUUGGGGUGUUUGGGCUUCCUGAAGGUAAUACCCGGGUAUUAAGAGUUGGGGCUAGGGUAAGGUUUAAGGUUUUGGCGUUAGGGUUUAAAUCACUGUCCAAAACCUUUGUAGGAACUGUUUUCCAACCUUUUGGAGUUAGUUAGACCAAAUAAAAAUGAAAAAUGAAAAAAAUAUAUUUGGGGUGUUUGGGCUUCCUGAAGGUAAUACCCGGGUAUUAAGAGUUGGGGCUAGGGUAAGGUUUAAGGUUUUGGCGUUAGGGUUUAAAUCACUGUCCAAAACCUUUGUAGGAACUGUUUUCCAACCUUUUGGAGUUAGUUAGACCAAAUAAAAAUGAAAAAUGAAAAAAAAAUAUUUGGGGUGUUCGGGCUUCCUGAAGAUAAUACACGGGUAUUAAGUUUUGGGGCUAGGUAAGGUUUAAGGUUUUUGGCGUUAGGGUUAAAAUCACUGUCCAAAACCUUUGUAGGAACUGUUUUCCAACCUUUGGGAGUUAGUUAGACCAAAUAAAAAUGAAAAAUGAAAAAAAAAAUAUUUGGGGUGUUUGGGCUUCCUGAAGGUAAUACCCGGGUAUUAAGAUUUGGGGCUAGGGUAAGGUUUAAGGUUUUGGCGUUAGGGUUUAAAUCACUGUCCAAAACCUUUGUAGGAACUCUUUUCCAACCUUUUGGAGUUAGUUAGACCAAAUAAAAAUGAAAAAUGAAAAAAAAAUAUUUGGGGUGUUCGGGCUUCCUGAAGGUAAUACCCGGGUAUUAGGUUAUGGGGCUGGGGUAAGGUUUAAGGUUUUUGGCGUUAGGGUUAAAAUCACUGUCCAAAACCUUUGUAGUAACUCUUUUCCAACCUUUUGGAGUUAGUUAGACUAAAAAAAAAGAAAGAUGAAAAAAAAAAUAUUUGGGGUUUUCGGGCUUCCUGAAGGUAAUACUUUAAUAAUAUUAGGUUUUGGGGCUAGGGUAAGGUUUAAGGUUUUUGGCGUUAGGGUUAAAAUGACUGUCCAAAACCUAUUGAGGAACAUGUUUCAGACCUUUUGGAGUUGGUUACACCAAAUAAAAAAAAAAAUAAAAAAAAAAUAUUUGGGGUGUUCGGGCUUCCUGAAGGUAAUACCCGGGUAUAAGUUUUGGGGCUAUGGUAAGGUUUAAGGUUUUUGGCAUUAGGGUUAAAAUCACUGUCCAAAACCUUUGUAGGAACUCUUUUCCAACCUUUUGGAGUUAGUUAGACCAAAUAAAAAUGAAAAAUGAAAAAAAAAAUAUUUGGGGUGUUUGGGCUUCCUGAAGGUAAUACCCGGGUAUUAAGAGUUGGGGCUAGGGUAAGGUUUAAGGUUUUGGCGUUAGGGUUUAAAUCACUGUCCAAAACCUUUGUAGGAACUGUUUUCCAACCUUUGGGAGUUAGUUAGACCAAAAAGAAAUGAAAAAUGAAAAAAAAAUAUUUGGGGUUUUUAGGGAUUCCUGAAGGUAAUACCCGGGUAUUAGGUUUUGGGGCUAGGGGAAGGUUUAAGGUUUUUGGCGUUAGGGUUAAAAUGACUGUCCAAAACCUAUUUAGGAACAUGUUUCAGACCUUUAGGAGUUGGAUACACCAAAUGAAAAUAAAAAAAUAAAAAAUAAAAUAUUUGGGGUGUUCGGGCUUCCUGAAGGUAAUACCCGGGUAUAAGUUUUGGGGCGAUGGUAAGGUUUAAGGUUUUUGGCGUUAGGGUUAAAAUCACUGUCCAAAACCUUUGUAGGAACUCUUUUCCAACCUUUUGGAGUUAGUUUGACCAAAAAGAAAUGAAAAAUGAAAAAAAAAUAUUUGGGGUGUUCGGGCUUCCUGAAGGUAAUACCCGGGUAUUAGGUUUUGUGGCUAGGGAAAGGUUUAAGGUUUUUGGCGUUAGGGUUAAAAUCACUGUCCAAAACCUUUGUAGGAACUCUUUUCCAACCUUUUGGAGUUAGUUAGACCAAAAAAAAUGAAAAAUGAAAAAAAAAUAUUUGGGGUUUUCGGGCUUCCUGAAGGUAAUACUAUUAGGUUUUGGGGCUAGGGUAAGGUUUAAGGUUUUUGGCGUUAGGGUUAAAAUCACUGUCCAAAACCUAUUUAGGAACAUGUUUCAGACCUUUUGGAGUUGGUUACACCAAAUAAAAAUAAAAAAUAAAAAAAAAAUAUUUGGGGUGUUUUGGCUUCCUGAAGAUAAUACCCGGGUAUUAAGAGUUGGGGCUAGGGUAAGGUUUAAGGUUUUGGCGUUAGGGUUUAAAUCACUGUCCAAAACCUUUGUAGGAACUGUUUUCCAACCUUUUGGAGUUAGUUAGACCAAAUAAAAAUGAAAAAUGAAAAAAAAUAUAUUUGGGGUGUUUGGGCUUCCUGAAGGUAAUACCCGGGUAUUAAGAGUUGGGGCUAGGGUAAGGUUUAAGGUUUUGGCGUUAGGGUUUAAAUCACUGUCCAAAACCUUUGUAGGAACUGUUUUCCAACCUUUUAGAGUUAGUUAGACCAAAUAAAAAUGAAAAAUGAAAAAAAAAUAUUUGGGGUGUUUGGGCUUCCUGAAGGUAAUACCCGGGUAUUAAGAUUUGGGGCUAGGGUAAGGUUUAAGGUUUUGGCGUUAGGGUUUAAAUCACUGUCCAAAACGUUUGUAGGAACUCGUUUCCAACCUUUUGGAGUUAGUUAGACCAAAAAGAAAUGAAAAAUGAAAAAAAAAUAUUUGUGGUGUUCGGGCUUCCUGAAGGUAAUACCCGGGUAUUAGGUUUUGGGGCUAGGGUAAGGUUUAAGGUUUUGGCGUUAGGGUUUAAAUCACUGUCCAAAACCUUUGUAGGAACUGUUUUCCAACCUUUUGGAGUUAGUUAGACCAAAUAAAAAUGAAAAAUGAAAAAAAAUAUUUGGGGUGUUUUGGCUUCCUGAAGGUAAUACCCGGGUAUUAAGAUUUGGGGCUAUGGUAAGGUUUAAGGUUUUGGCGUUAGGGUUUAAAUCACUGUCCAAAACCUUUGUAGGAACUCUUUUCCAACCUUUUGGAGUUAGUUACACCAAAUAAAAAUGAAAAAUGAAAAAAUAUAUAUUUGGGGUGUUUGGGCUUCCCGAAGGUAAUAUCCGGGUAUUAAGAUUUGGGGCUAGGGUAAGGUUUAAGGUUUUGGCGUUAGGGUUUAAAAUCACUGUCCAAAACCUUUGUAGGAACUGUUUUCCAACCUUUUGGAGUUAGUUAGACCAAAUAAAAAUGAAAAAUGAAAAAAAAAUAUUUGGGGUGUUUGGGCUUCCUGAAGGUAAUACCCGGGUAUUAAGAUUUGGGGCUAGGGUAAGGUUAAAGGUUUUGGCGUUAGGGUUUAAUUCACUGUCCAAAACCUAUUUAGGAACAUGUUUCAGACCUUUUGGAGUUAGUUAGACCAAAUAAAAAUGAAAAAUGAAAAAAAAUAUUUGGGGUGUUUUGGCUUCCUGAAGGUAAUACCCGGGUAUUAAGAUUUGGGGCUAUGGUAAGGUUUAAGGAUUUUUGGCGUUAGGGUUAAAAUCACUGUCCAAAACCUUUGUAGGAACUCUUUUCCAACCUUUUGGAGUUAGUUAGACCAAAUAAAAAUGAAAAAUGAAAAGAAAAUAUUUGGGGUGUUUGGGCUUCCUGAAGGUAAUACCCGGGUAUUAAGAGUUGGGGCUAGGGUAAGGUUUAAGGUUUUGGCGUUAGGGUUUAAAUCACUGUCCAAAACCUUUGUAGGAACUGUUUUCCAACCUUUUGGAGUUAGUUAGACCAAAAAAAAAUGAAAAAUGAAAAAAAAAUAUUUGGGGUUUUCGGGAUUCCUGAAGGUAAUACCCGGGUAUUAGGUUUUGGGGCUAGGGGAAGGUUUAAGGUUUUUGGCGUUAGGGUUAAAAUGACUGUCCAAAACCUAUUUAGGAACAUGUUUCAGACCUUUUGGAGUUGGUUACACCAAAUGAAAAUAAAAAAAUAAAAAAAAAAUAUUUGGGGUGUUCGGGCUUCCUGAAGGUAAUACCCGGGUAUAAGUUUUGGGGCGAUGGUAAGGUUUAAGGUUUUUGGCGUUAGGGUUAAAAUCACUGUCCAAAACCUUUGUAGGAACUCUUUUCCAACCUUUUGGAGUUAGUUAGACCAAAUAAAAAUGAAAAAUGAAAAAAAAAAUAUUUGGGGUGUUUGGGCUUCCUGAAGGUAAUACCCGGGUAUUAAGAGUUGGGGCUAGGGUAAGGUUUAAGGUUUUUGGCGUUAGGGUUAAAAAUCACUGUCCAAAACCUUUGUGGGAACUGUUUUCCAACCUUUGGGAGUUAGUUAGACCAAAAAAUAAUGAAAAAUGAAAAAAAAAUAUUUGGGGUUUUCGGGAUUCCUGAAGGUAAUACCCGGGUAUUAGGUUUUGGGGCUAGGGGAAGGUUUAAGGUUUUGGCGUUAGGGUUUAAAUCACUGUCCAAAACCUAUUUAGGAACAUGUUUCAGACCUUUUGGAGUUGGUUACACCAAAUAAAAAUAAAAAUAAAAAAAAAUAUUUGGGGUGUUUGGGCUUCCUGAAGGUAAUACCCAGGUAUUAGGUUUGGGGCUAGGGGAAGGUUUAAGGUUUUUGGCGUUAGGGUUAAAAUCACUGUCCAAAACCUUUGUAGUAACUCUUUUCCAACCUUUUGGAGUUAGUUAGACAAAAAAAAAUGAAAAAUGAAAAAAAAAUAUUUGGGGUUUUCGGGCUUCCUGAAGGUAAUACUUUAAUAAUAUUAGGUUUUGGGGCUAGGGUAAGGUUUAAGGUUUUUGGCGUUAGGGUUAAAAUGACUGUCCAAAACCUAUUUAGGAACAUGUUUCAGACCUUUUGGAGUUGGUUACACCAAAUAAAAAAAAAAAUAAAAAAAAAUAUUUGGGGUGUUUGGGCUUCCUGAAGGUAAUACCCGGGUAUUAAGAGUUGGGGCUAGGGUAAGGUUUAAGGUUUUGGCGUUAGGGUUUAAAUCACUGUCCAAAACCUUUGUAGGAACUGUUUUCCAACCUUUUGGAGUUAGUUAGACCAAAUAAAAAUGAAAAAUGAAAAAAAUAUAUUUGGGGUGUUUGGGCUUCCUGAAGGUAAUACCCGGGUAUUAAGAGUUGGGGCUAGGGUAAGGUUUAAGGUUUUGGCGUUAGGGUUUAAAUCACUGUCCAAAACCUUUGUAGGAACUGUUUUCCAACCUUUUGGAGUUAGUUAGACCAAAUAAAAAUGAAAAAUGAAAAAAAAAUAUUUGGGGUGUUUUGGCUUCCUGAAGGUAAUACCCGGGUAUUAAGAUUUGGGGCUAUGGUAAGGUUUAAGGUUUUGGCGUUAGGGUUAAAAUCACUGUCCAAAACCUUUGUAGGAACUCUUUUCCAACCUUUUGGAGUUAGUUAGACCAAAAAAUAAUGAAAAAUGAAAAAAAAAUAUUUGGGUGUUUUCGGGAUUCCUGAAGGUAAUACCCGGGUAUUAGGUUUUGGGGCUAGGGGAAGGUUUAAGGUUUUUGGCGUUAGGGUUAAAAUCACUGUCCAAAACCUUUGUAGGAACUCUUUUCCAACCUUUUGGAGUUAGUUAGACCAAAUAAAAAUGAAAAAUGAAAAAAAAUAUUUGGGGUGUUCGGGCUUCCUGAAGGUAAUACCCGGGUAUUAAGAUUUGGGGCUAGGGUAAGGUUUAAGGUUUUUGGCGUUAGGGUUAAAAUCACUGUCCAAAACCUUUGUAGGAACUAUUUUCCAACCUUUUGGAGUUAGUUAGACCAAAUAAAAAUGAAAAAUGAAAAAAAAAUAUUUGGGGUGUUUGGGCUUCCUGAAGGUAAUACCCGGGUAUUAAGAGUUGGGGCUAGGGUAAGGUUUAAGGUUUUGGCGUUAGGGUUUAAAUCACUGUCCAAAACCUUUGUAGGAACUCUUUUCCAACCUUUUGGAGUUAGUUAGACCAAAAAAAAUGAAAAAUGAAAAAAAAAUAUUUGUGGUGUUCGGGCUUCCUGAAGAUAAUACCCGGGUAUUAGGUUUUGGGGCUAGGGAAAGGUUUAAGGUUUUUGGCGUUAGGGUUAAAAUCACUGUCCAAAACCUUUGUAGGAACUCUUUUCCAACCAUUUGGAGUUAGUUAGACCAAAUAAAAAUGAAAAAUGAAAAAAAAAUAUUUGGGGUGUUUGGGCUUCCUGAAGGUAAUACCCGGGUAUUAAGAUUUGGGGCUAGGGUAAGGUUUAAGGUUUUUGGCGUUAGGGUUAAAAUCACUGUCCAAAACCUUUGUAGGAACUCUUUUCCAACCUUUUGGAGUUAGUUAGACCAAAAAAUAAUGAAAAAUGAAAAAAAAAUAUUUGGGGUUUUCGGGAUUCCUGAAGGUAAUACCCGGGUAUUAGGUUUUGGGGCUAGGGGAAGGUUUAAGGUUUUUGGCGUUAGGGUUAAAAUGACUGUCCAAAACCUAUUUAGGAACAUGUUUCAGACCUUUUGGAGUUGGUUACACCAAAUAAAAAUAAAAAAAAAAAAAAAAUAUUUGGGGUGUUCGGGCUUCCUGAAGGUAAUACCCGGGUAUAAGUUUUGGGGCUAGGGUAAGGUUUAAGGUUUUUGGCGUUAGGGUUAAAAUCACUGUCCAAAACCUGUGUAGGAACUCUUUUCCAACCUUUUGGAGUUAGUUAGACCAAAUAAAAAUGAAAAAUGAAAAAAAAUAUUUGGGGUGUUUGGGCUUCCUGAAGGUAAUACCCGGGUAUUAAGAGUUGGGGCUAGGGUAAGGUUUAAGGUUUUGGCGUUAGGGUUAAAAUCACUGUCCAAAACCUUUGUAGGAACUGUUUUCCAACCUUUUGGAGUUAGUUAGACCAAAUAAAAAUUAAAAAUGAAAAAAUAUAUAUUUGGGGUGUUUGGGCUUCCUGAAGGUAAUACCCGGGUAUUAAGAGUUGGGGCUAGGGUAAGGUUUAAGGUUUUGGCGUUAGGGUUAAAAUCACUGUCCAAAACCUAUUUAGGAACAUGUUUCAGACCUUUUGGAGUUGGUUACACCAAAUAAAAAAAAAAAAAAAAAAAAAAAUAUUUGGGGUGUUUUGGCUUCCUGAAGGUAAUACCCGGGUAUUAAGAGUUGGGGCUAGGGUAAGGUUUAAGGUUUUGGCGUUAGGGUUUAAAUCACUGUCCAAAACCUUUGUAGGAACUGUUUUCCAACCUUUUGGAGUUAGUUAGACCAAAUAAAAAUGAAAAAUGAAAAAAAAAUAUUUGGGGUGUUUGGGCUUCCUGAAGGUAAUACCCGGGUAUUAAGAUUUGGGGCUAGGGUAAGGUUUAAGGUUUUGGCGUUAGGGUUUAAAUCACUGUCCAAAACGUUUGUAGGAACUCGUUUCCAACCUUUUGGAGUUAGUUAGACCAAAAAGAAAUGAAAAAUGAAAAAAAAAUAUUUGUGGUGUUCGGGCUUCCUGAAGAUAAUACACGGGUAUUAAGUUUUGGGGCUAGGAAAAGGUUUAAGGUUUUUGGCGUUAGGGUUAAAAUCACUGUCCAAAACCUUUGUAGGAACUGUUUUCCAACCUUUGGGAUUUAGUUAGACCAAAUAAAAAUGAAAAAUGAAAAAAAAAAUAUUUGGGGUGUUUGGGCUUCCUGAAGGUAAUACCGGGGUAUUAAGAUUUGGGGCUAGGGUAAGGUUAAAGGUUUUGGCGUUAGGGUUUAAAUCACUGUCCAAAACGUUUGUAGGAACUCUUUUCCAACCUUUUGGAGUUAGUUAGACCAAAUAAAAAUGAAAAAUGAAAAAAAAAUAUUUGGGGUGUUCGGGCUUCCUGAAGGUAAUACCCGGGUAUUAGGUUAUGGGGCUAGGGUAAGGUUUAAGGUUUUUGGCGUUAGGGUUAAAAUCACUGUCCAAAACCUUUGUAGGAACUCUUUUCCAACCUUUUGGAGUUAGUUAGACCAAAAAAAAAGAAAAAAAAAAAAAAAUAUUUGGGGUUUUCGGGCUUCCUGAAGGUAAUACUUUAAUAAUAUUAGGUUUUGGGGCUAGGGUAAGGUUUAAGGUUUUUGGCGUUAGGGUUAAAAUCACUGUCCAAAACCUUUGUAGGAACUCUUUUCCAACCUUUUGGAGUUAGUUAGACCAAAUAAAAAAAAAAAAUAAAUAAAAAAUAUUCGGGGUGUUCGGGCUUCCUGAAGGUAAUACCCGGGUAUAAGUUUUGGGGCUAUGGUAAGGUUUAAGGUUUUUGGCAUUAGGGUUAAAAUCACUGUCCAAAACCUUUGUAGGAACUCUUUUCCAACCUUUUGGAUUUAGUUUGACCAAAUAAAAAUGUAAAAUGAAAAAAAAUAUAUUUGGGGUGUUUGGGCUUCCUGAAGGUAAUACCCGGGUAUUGAGAGUUGGGGCUAGGGUAAGGUUUAAGGUUUUGGCGUUAGGGUUUAAAUCAAUGUCCAAAACCUUUGUAGGAACUGUUUUCCAACCUUUGAGAGUUAGUUAGACCAAAUAAAAAUGAAAAAUGAAAAAAAAAUAUUUGGGGUGUUUGGGCUUCCUGAAAGUAAUACCCGGGUAUUAAGAUUUGGGGCUAGGGUAAGGUUAAAGGUUUUGGCGUUAGGGUUUAAAUCACUGUCCAAAACCUUUGUAGGAACUCUUUUCCAACCUUUUGGAGUUAGUUAGACCAAAAAGAAAUGAAAAAUGAAAAAAAAAUAUUUGUGGUGUUCGGGCUUCCUGAAGAUAAUACACGGGUAUUAGGUUUUGGGGCUAGGGAAAGGUUUAAGGUUUUUGGCGUUAGGGUUAAAAUCACUGUCCAAAACCUUUGUAGGAACUCUUUUCCAACCAUUUGGAGUUAGUUAGACCAAAUAAAAAUGAAAAAUGAAAAAAAAAUAUUUGGCUUGUUUUGGCUUCCUGAAGAUAAUGCACGGGUAUUAGGUUUUGGGGCUAGGGUAAGGUUUAAGGUUUUUGGCGUUAGGGUUAAAAUCACUGUCCAAAACCUUUGUAGGAACUAUUUUCCAAGCUUUGGGAGUUAGUUAGACCAAAAAGAAAUGAAAAAUGAAAAAAAAAUAUUUGGGGUGUUCUGGCUUCCUGAAGAUAAUACCCGGGUAUUAAGAGUUGGGGCUAGGGUAAGGUUUAAGGUUUUGGCGUUAGGGUUUAAAUCACUGUCCAAAACCUUUGUAGGAACUGUUUUCCAACCUUUUAGAGUUAGUUAGACCAAAUAAAAAUGAAAAAUGAAAAAAAAGUAUUUGGGGUGUUUGGGCAUCCUGAAGGUAAUACCCGGGUAUUAAGAUUUGGGGCUAGGGUAAGGUUUAAGGUUUUGGCGUUAGGGUUUAAAUCACUGUCCAAAACGUUUGUAGGAACUGUUUUCCAACCUUUGGGAGUUAGUUAGACCAAAUAAAAAUGAAAAAUGAAAAAAAAAAUAUUUGGGGUGUUUGGGCUUCCUGAAGGUAAUACCCGGGUAUUAAGAUUUGGGGCUAGGGUAAGGUUAAAGGUUUUGGCGUUAGGGUUUAAAUCACUGUCCAAAACCUUUGUAGGAACUCUUUUCCAACCUUUUGGAGUUAGUUAGACCAAAUAAAAAUGAAAAAUGAAAAAAAAAUAUUUGGGGUUUUCGGGCUUCCUGAAGGUAAUACCCGGGUAUUAGGUCAUGGGGCUGGGGUAAGGUUUAAGGUUUUUGGCGUUAGGGUUAAAAUUACUGUCCAAAGCCUUUGUAGUAACUCUUUUCCAACCUUUUGGAGUUAGUUAGACUAAAAAAAAAGAAAGAUGAAAAAAAAAAUAUUUGGGGUGUUCGGGCUUCCUGAAGGUAAUACUUUAAUAAUAUUAGGUUUUGGGGCUAGGGUAAGGUUUAAGGUUUUUGGCGUUAGGGUUAAAAUGACUGUCCAAAACCUAUUUAGGAACAUGUUUCAGACCUUUUGGAGUUGGUUACACCAAAUAAAAAAAAAAAAAUAAAAAAAAAAUAUUUGGGGUGUUCGGGCUUCCUGAAGGUAAUACCCGGGUAUAAGUUUUGGGGCUAUGGUAAGGUUUAAGGUUUUUGGCAUUAGGGUUAAAAUCACUGUCCAAAACCUUUGUAGGAACUCUUUUCCAACCUUUUGGAGUUAGUUAGACCAAAUAAAAAUGAAAAAUGAAAAAAAAAAUAUUUGGGGUGUUUGGGCUUCCUGAAGGUAAUACCCGGGUAUUAAGAGUUGGGGCUAGGGUAAGGUUUAAGGUUUUGGCGUUAGGGUUUAAAUCACUGUCCAAAACGUUUGUAGGAACUGUUUUCCAACCUUUGGGAGUUAGUUAGACCAAAAAGAAAUGAAAAAUGAAAAAAAAAUAUUUGGGGUUUUCGGGAUUCCUGAAGGUAAUACCCGGGUAUUAGGUUUUGGGGCUAAGGGAAGGUUUAAGGUUUUUGGCGUUAGGGUUAAAAUGACUGUCCAAAACCUAUUUAGGAACAUGUUUCAGACCUUUUGGAGUUGGUUACACCAAAUGAAAAUAAAAAAAUAAAAAAAAAAAUUAUUUGGGGUGUUCGGGCUUCCUGAAGGUAAUACCCGGGUAUAAGUUUUGGGGCGAUGGUAAGGUUUAAGGUUUUUGGCGUUAGGGUUAAAAUCACUGUCCAAAACCUUUGUAGGAACUCUUUUCCAACCUUUUGGAGUUAGUUUGACCAAAUAAAAAUGAAAAAUGAAAAAAAAAAUAUUUGGGGUGUUUGGGCUUCCUGAAGGUAAUACCCGGGUAUUGAGAGUUGGGGCUAGGGUAAGGUUUAAGGUUUUGGCGUUAGGGUUUAAAUCACUGUCCAAAACCUUUGUAGGAACUGUUUUCCAACCUUUGGGAGUUAGUUAGACCAAAUAAAAAUGAAAAAUGAAAAAAAAAUAUUUGGGGUGUUUGGGCUUCCUGAAGGUAAUACCCGGGUAUUAAGAGUUGGGGCUAGGGUAAGGUUUAAGGUUUUGGCGUUAGGGUUAAAAUCACUGUCCAAAACCUAUUUAGGAACAUGUUUCAGACCUUUUGGAGUUGGUUACACCAAAUAAAAAUAAAAAAUAAAAAAAAAAUAUUUGGGGUGUUUUGGCUUCCUGAAGAUAACACCCGGGUAUUAAGAGUUGGGGCUAGGGUAAGGUUUAAGGUUUUGGCGUUAGGGUUUAAAUCACUGUCCAAAACCUUUGUAGGAACUGUUUUCCAACCUUUUAGAGUUAGUUAGACCAAAUAAAAAUGAAAAAUGAAAAAAAAAUAUUUGGGGUGUUUGGGCUUCCUGAAGGUAAUACCCGGGUAUUAAGAUUUGGGGCUAGGGUAAGGUUUAAGGUUUUGGCGUUAGGGUUUAAAUCACUGUCCAAAACGUUUGUAGGAACUCGUUUCCAACCUUUUGGAGUUAGUUAGACCAAAAAGAAAUGAAAAAUGAAAAAAAAAUAUUUGUGGUGUUCGGGCUUCCUGAAGAUAAUACACGGGUAUUAAGUUUUGGGGCUAGGAAAAGGUUUAAGGUUUUUGGCGUUAGGGUUAAAAUCACUGUCCAAAACCUUUGUAGGAACUGUUUUCCAACCUUUGGGAUUUAGUUAGACCAAAUAAAAAUGAAAAAUGAAAAAAAAAAUAUUUGGGGUGUUUGGGCUUCCUGAAGGUAAUACCGGGGUAUUAAGAUUUGGGGCUAGGGUAAGGUUAAAGGUUUUGGCGUUAGGGUUUAAAUCACUGUCCAAAACGUUUGUAGGAACUCUUUUCCAACCUUUUGGAGUUAGUUAGACCAAAUAAAAAUGAAAAAUGAAAAAAAAAUAUUUGGGGUGUUCGGGCUUCCUGAAGGUAAUACCCGGGUAUUAGGUUAUGGGGCUGGGGUAAGGUUUAAGGUUUUUGGCGUUAGGGUUAAAAUCACUGUCCAAAACCUU
Non-coding RNA from Xyrichtys novacula (pearly razorfish), 11900 nucleotides. NCBI's taxonomy places the organism in Eukaryota, Metazoa, Chordata, Actinopteri, Labriformes, Labridae. The record is from the annotation of a GenBank genome assembly.